Glycine max (soybean) is the source of this 66-nucleotide non-coding RNA. The record is from Rfam. Lineage: Eukaryota; Viridiplantae; Streptophyta; Magnoliopsida; Fabales; Fabaceae.
GCGUUUGUAGGUUAAGAUAAUUGCCUUCCAAGUAAUAGACCUGGGUUCGACUCUCGGCAAAACGCA